GAUGAACGCUGGCGGCGUGCCUAACACAUGCAAGUCGAACGGAGUCCAGCCUUAGAGACCUUCGGGUCAAAGAGGGGAAGACUGAGUGGCGGACGGGUGAGUAACACGUGGGCAACCUGGCUCAUAGAGGGGGAUAACAGAGAGAAAUUUCUGCUAAUACCGCAUAAGCACACACUGCCGCAUGGCAGAGUGUGAAAAGAGAAUCGCUAUGAGAUGGACCCGCGUCUGAUUAGCCAGUUGGCAGGGUAAGAGCCUACCAAAGCGACGAUCAGUAGCCGAUUUGAGAGGAUGAACGGCCACAUUGGGACUGAGACACGGCCCAAACUCCUACGGGAGGCAGCAGUGGGGGAUAUUGCACAAUGGGGGGAACCCUGAUGCAGCGACGCCGCGUAAGUGAAGAAGUAUUUCGGUAUGUAAAGCUCUAUCAGCAGGGAAGAUAAUGACAGUACCUGAAUAAGAAGCCCCGGCUAACUACGUG
This 478-nucleotide ribosomal RNA is filed under the name uncultured bacterium. RNAcentral's name for it is "partial 16S ribosomal RNA". It matches the Rfam family "Bacterial small subunit ribosomal RNA", at positions 28 to 507 of the family's 1533-position model. The record is from RNAcentral.